GACGAACGCUGGCGGCGUGCUUAACACAUGCAAGUCGAACGGAAAGGCCCUGCUUUUGUGGGGUGCUCGAGUGGCGAACGGGUGAUUAACACGUGAGUAACCUGCCCUUGACUUUGGGAUAACUUCAGGAAACUGGGGCUAAUACCGGAUAGGAGCUCCUGCUGCAUGGUGGGGGUUGGAAAGUUUCGGCGGUUGGGGAUGGACUCGCGGCUUAUCAGCUUGUUGGUGGGGUAGUGGCUUACCAAGGCUUUGACGGGUAGCCGGCUUGAGAGGGUGACCGGCCAAAUUGGGACUGAGAUACGGCCCAGACUCCUACGGGAGGCAGCAGUGGGGAAUAUUGCACAAUGGGCGGAAGCCUGAUGCAGCAACGCCGCGUGCGGGAUGACGGCCUUCGGGUUGUAAACCGCUUUCGCCUGUGACGAAGAGUGAGUGACGGUAAUGGGUAAAGAAGCACCGGCUAACUACGUG
Molecule: ribosomal RNA, 468 nt
Filed under: uncultured bacterium
Lineage: Bacteria
Description: partial 16S ribosomal RNA
Rfam family: Bacterial small subunit ribosomal RNA
Source: RNAcentral